This 332-nucleotide RNase P RNA is filed under the name Salmonella enterica subsp. enterica serovar Heidelberg. RNAcentral's name for it is "RNase P RNA component class A". It matches the Rfam family "Bacterial RNase P class A". Rfam says of the family: Ribonuclease P (RNase P) is a ubiquitous endoribonuclease, found in archaea, bacteria and eukarya as well as chloroplasts and mitochondria. Its best characterised activity is the generation of mature 5'-ends of tRNAs by cleaving the 5'-leader elements of precursor-tRNAs. Cellular RNase Ps are ribonucleoproteins. The record is from RNAcentral. Lineage: Bacteria; Pseudomonadati; Pseudomonadota; Gammaproteobacteria; Enterobacterales; Enterobacteriaceae.
GAAGCUGACCAGACAGUCGCCGCUUCGUCGUCGGCCUUUCGGGGAGACGGGCGGAGGGGAGGAAAGUCCGGGCUCACCAGUGCAACAGAGAGCAAACCGCCGAUGGCCCACGCAAGUGGGAUCAGGUAAGGGUGAAAGGGUGCGGUAAGAGCGCACCGCGCGGCUGGUAACAGUCCGUGGCACGGUAAACUCCACCCGGAGCAAGGCCAAAUAGGGGUUCAUAAGGUACGGCCCGUACUGAACCCGGGUAGGCUGCUUGAGCCAGUGAGCGAUUGCUGGCCUAGAUGAAUGACUGUCCACGACAGAACCCGGCUUAUCGGUCAGUUUCACCU